UGAGUAAUGUCUGGGAAACUGCCUGAUGGAGGGGGAUAACUACUGGAAACGGUAGCUAAUACCGCAUAACGUCGCAAGACCAAAGGGGGGGACCUUCGGGCCUCUUGCCAUCAGAUGUGCCCAGAUGGGAUUAGCUAGUAGGUGGGGUAAUGGCUCACCUAGGCGACGAUCCCUAGCUGGUCUGAGAGGAUGACCAGCCACACUGGAACUGAGACACGGUCCAGACUCCUACGGGAGGCAGCAGUGGGGAAUAUUGCACAAUGGGCGCAAGCCUGAUGCAGCCAUGCCGCGUGUGUGAAGAAGGCCUUCGGGUUGUAAAGCACUUUCAGCGAGGAGGAAGGUGGUGAACUUAAUACGUUCAUCAAUUGACGUUACUCGCAGAAGAAGCACCGGCUAACUCCGUGCCAGCAGCCGCGGUAAUACGGAGGGUGCAAGCGUUAAUCGGAAUUACUGGGCGUAAAGCGCACGCAGGCGGUUUGUUAAGUCAGAUGUGAAAUCCCCGGG
RNAcentral lists this ribosomal RNA (504 nucleotides) under uncultured bacterium. RNAcentral describes it as "bacterial SSU rRNA". It matches the Rfam family "Bacterial small subunit ribosomal RNA", at positions 107 to 607 of the family's 1533-position model. The record is from RNAcentral.